Molecule: long non-coding RNA, 202 nt
Filed under: Arachis ipaensis
Lineage: Eukaryota; Viridiplantae; Streptophyta; Magnoliopsida; Fabales; Fabaceae
Description: long non-coding RNA (AIPA_LNC001530)
Source: RNAcentral
CGUUGAAGAGAAAUAAGCAGUUACUCCUUGCUGGCCUUCUAUUUGUUCAAAGUACAGGGACCAAAUUCUUGAAGCGUCUUGUCGGUUUUCUUGUAAUAUUCAGAUUACAUCAUACCAUACACUAUACAGUGUACUAAAUACAUAAUUGUGGUGUGACAAAUUUGUAAAUAAUGGGAUAAGUUUUUGUCGUUGUUGUAGCAAG